RNAcentral lists this non-coding RNA (100 nucleotides) under Methanomassiliicoccus luminyensis. Its description in RNAcentral is "Pyrrolysine insertion sequence mtbB". It matches the Rfam family "Pyrrolysine insertion sequence mtbB". Lineage: Archaea; Methanobacteriati; Thermoplasmatota; Thermoplasmata; Methanomassiliicoccales; Methanomassiliicoccaceae. The record is from RNAcentral.
UAGGUUGGGGUCGGCGACCCUAUGGGUAUGCCGACUGCACACAUAAUGACCUCCGGCAUGAGCGGGAUCAGGGCUGCUGGCGACCUCGUCGCGAGGAUGC